AUUAAUUCAUCAUUUAGGUAGGUAUCUAUUUUAAAUUUUAGACAUGUCAUCAAAUAGUAAACAUUACAAAAAUGCUACAAUUAAGCAAAUGAAUGUGCAAAAAAUAUCUAGUUUUAAUAUUUCAGUGAAAAGUGAAAUACUAGUUUAGAUAAUAAAACUAUGGAUAUGACAGACACUAAUGAUAAUUCAAUGGAUGUUUUUGAAAAUUUAGAACAUCAUCCAUUACCACACUCUCUUUCAGACACACUCUGUUUUGAAUAUGAGAAUAUAUUAUUAGAAGAUGAAAAAUGUAUUAGUGAUACUACGGAGGAUACUACAUAAAAGUCUUACCAGUAGCUUAUCAGAAUGGUCCUGUAAACAUAAUAUUACACAUGUGGCUAUUAAUGACCUGUUAAAUAUUUUAAAACCAUAUCAUCCUGAAUUACCCCGAGAUGCUAGAACUCUGUUACACACUCUAAGGAAAACUAUUCUACAACCAAUAAACUCAGGUCACUAUAUUUAUUUUGGAUUGAGAAAUUGUUUGCAAAAACUACUGUCUCAGUAUUCUGGAGAAGAGUGUCUUGAUACUGUAGAAAUUUUAAUUAAUAUCUUUAUAAUUAAUAUCACUUUCAAAAAGUUCAUCCAGUCGAGUGUAUCCAAUUUUAUGCAGUAUAUAUCCGAAACAGGGGCCAGUUGAUAUAGUUGGUAUAUAUCACGGUUAUGAGAAACCCAAAGAUUCUAAUUUAUUUUUAGAAAAAUUUGUAGAAGAUGCCAUAGAAAUAAUUAAUAAUGAAGCUGCAAUAAAAAGUGAAAAAUGUAGUGAUAAGAAGGUGGCGGAGCAAGAAAUUGGACGAUGGUUGAGGAGAGCCGGGGAUCGCUUAAAAACUUUCAAGGAAAAGGAAUCAGAAUAAAAAUUGAAUUUAUUUAUUUUUUAAAUAAUAAAGAUAUAUUCACCUA
This 936-nucleotide long non-coding RNA is filed under the name Diabrotica virgifera virgifera (western corn rootworm). Its description in RNAcentral is "uncharacterized LOC126882067". The record is from RNAcentral. Lineage: Eukaryota; Metazoa; Arthropoda; Insecta; Coleoptera; Chrysomelidae.